AUGCCAAAGUCCAGCUUCUGCAGAACUGGCUCCAGCCACAAACCAACCUCAUGAAAUGAAAUCAGAGGCCACAGGAAAAUGCCCAACACUGCACAGAGACGCCAAGAGAGGAAAUGGAACACACUCAACUCCAGUCGUACCUCAGUCCUGCCCCACGAUCUUCAGGAGACAUCUCAAGAGCUUCAGGUACCUUCAGAAGAUUUGAGGACACUAUCAAAUGUAGCCAAACACUGGAUUUUUAAGAUGAUACUUUUGUGAGGAGACAGGAGACAGCUACAACUUGUCUUUAAAACAGUAAAAAAAAAAUCAGGCACAAACUCAGGGUUGAGCUACACUCAGGUUUUACGUGCCACACGGCGCGAGAGCAGCCUGUGUUUAUCCUCAUUGAAGCCCCAGUUGGAGUAUUUCAAGCAGCCUCUUCUAAAAAUAACCUGGUCACACUACAUUCCAACUGGCAGCCAUCAGGAGGACAGAGAGAUGGGGUUAAGGGGGGUAGAAACAGCAACACCCUCCACCACCACCACCACCAACCCCGACACCACCACCAACCUCCCAAACACGCCUGAUCUUGUGUCAGUGACAUGGCAUGGACAGACAGAUGAGAGGGGACAUGUGUGUCCCUAACACAAUGUUGGAUGUUUACUUUAAGGCAAAGUUUGACAUUUUGGGAAAUAUGCUUUCUUGCCAAGAGUUAGAUGUGAAGAUCAAUGCUAGACUGAUAUCGUGAGCUAAAUAUGAAGCUACUGCCAGCAACCGUGAAUCCACCUACCAACACCUCUAAUGUUCACAUCGUAUCUCAUUCAUUUCAUCUCUAAAAAAAUUGACAAUUUUGACAUUUUACAGGGGAUGAUGUAUCAGACUACUUCUUGGUCAGGACCAGUGGUUUCAUAUUUAGCAUGCAGACAUCAGAGUGUUAUCACUCUUCUCAUCUAACUCAGCAAGAAAGAAAAUAGACAUAUGAGCCAAUAAAAGAGAGUGAAUAUUAUCAAUUGCAUAUUCUCGUACGAGGAUCAAUGUAAAUGUGGCAAUUUACUCUGAUACGAAUCAAAGAUACAAAUCUCCUAGCCCUACUUUGACCACAGCCGGUCCCACAAACGUUACUUCAAAAAGUGAAAAAUCAGAGCAGAGACCCGUCCCUAAAGUUAGGUUUACUGUGCAAGAAUCAAGAAAAAAAACAUGAUUAUACAAAAUAUUUGAAACAUUUUGAUUCAUACUGGAAGCAGGUUAAAAAUACAAACAAAAAAUACUCACAAAAACUGGGAUUUUUACAGUGUUCACAUGACUAUGUCAUGGUGAUGGUGGAUGCUACUACACAAAUACUUUCUUGGAAGUUGCACAAGCUGUAGUUCUCAGGUGCCACACACAUGGUUCAUAGUUUUAUGAACAUAAUGUUCAGUACACAGGACAAUAGAGAUGAUGUGGUAAAAAAGAGUAAACUGAUCUAGAACUGGGGGAUUACCAUAAAAUAACUAGACUAGACAAGACUAGAGUUGCUGUCAACACUUCAAUCAGAAGUUCCCGACACACAGUAAGUAUCUGGUAGGGUCAAUAUCACUGCCAAGGUUAAUCAUACAAUGAUACAGUCACAAUCAGAAGAACCACUAAUUACACUGCUCUACACAUGUAUUUGAAUGCUUCUAAAAAAAUAAAUAAAAAUAGUGUUUAUCAGCAUCUAAACAGAAUAUAAAAUAUGGUACAUGUGAAGGAUAAACAUACACUUUAACUAGUUUUCUCCUCAUAGUAAGUAUCCUGACAUGACUGCAUACCUUCACCUCAUCUUAAAGUUCAGAGGAGCUAAACAUAACUGCAAAAUAGCAAAUUAACAAACUGUAGAUUUCCUUUUUAGUCUCAAUCUUGCCAGUGAGUCAGCAGUCAGUCUUGUUGCAGGUUUAAAUGUCCUUAAUCAUAUGGAUCACACAUAUUCAAACAUGAAUAAAAACACAACCAACAGGGCAAGAAAAGUGUCUAAUUCCACUGCAUAAUUUCCUCAAUAUAAUAAUAUAAUAAUCCUCAAACAAUGUUCAACAAAUAAAUAACUAACAGUAAUGGAUUUGGCCUAACACAAAUUCUGAUAUAAUUUGUUGUGUGACUGUGACUUCAUGACGGAGAAUCACAAAUACAUUGUGACUCUUGUUUAUAUGGUAAAUGACUUGAUCACAUAAUUUGACAGUGAAGAAACAGCCAUGGCUGGUUUGUUGUUUUGUUUUCCACCAGUCGACCCAUCCAAUCAGAGGGUUCCUUCUGAGACACACCCACGCUGUGUCCAGUGAUCUGAUUGGUUCGACUGUUUCAUGUCACACCUCUGUAUCAGUUCCGGCUUUGGAGAAACAGCUGAGUCACACACACACACACACACACACACAGAGUAAUCAUGCACACACUGCACUCCGGUUUCACAACUCUUAAGACACUUUGCGUUUGUUGUGGGAACAAACAGCAGCACAGAGGGUCUGUCCUCGAUAUCCAGUGUCACAGAAACACAUGACGUCUAAUUAGUAGCAUGACAAAUAGAUUUUUCACAUUUCGACCAUUAAAGAUGAGGAUCAUGCUCUUUGUGUGUUUUCAGUGGUAGUACUGUUAUCAAAGUCAAGAUCUCAUUUUCCUGCCACCAACUAGUUUCCUCAUUAGCUUGAUGUAAAUAUAUACAUUUUGUUAUUUUCAAGUUAAUUCAAUCCCCCAUUUAUUUUAAACUGCACCUGCUGUUACCACGGUAACUGACUCUGAUAAAGAACUCACUGUGAACAGGCACUGAAUGGCUAGUACUAAAUAAAUGGAGAAAUCUCUGUCUGUCCUCUUAUUUUCUCAACAACCGCUCAUCCAAUCAACGUCAGGUUUUGCAACUGUAUUGCUGAGGACCCACAAAAGUGCAGUGUCGUCCGUGAAGUUUUUUGGAUGAGUGAGUGUCAACAAAAUCCACAAAACAGACAUCAAAUAAUCUAUAUACAGAACUUAUGCAACCAUUCAACUGACAACUCACAAAGGCUUCAAUUGUGACACAACUGUGAUGUCACAGAACAUCAAAGGCAACCUUCUUUAUUACACAGAGAGAAUACUUUUAUUAGAGUAUUCCAGUAGAGGAGUAUUCCAGUAGAAGAAACUACUUGUUUCAUUAUACUGCAAAGAUCAUCCUGCUGGAACAGAGGAAAUUACACCAUCACUUGGAAAACACUAGCUUUCUACAAAAUGGACAUCCUGAGUGGCUGGCUCUGCACGACCACUGGGAAUCUCCUCAGAUCAGUGCCUGCUGGUCUAGGACUUCAUCGUCCCUGAGGAACCCUGGUCAAUCAUUCAACACCUGUGAUGCCACCAAACCGAGGUAGUGCCCUGCAUACAAGCUAUGGCCGACUUCCUGAAAACAGCUUGUUAAGUGCGGUCAAGAAUCUCCUCAGAUCAGAACCUGCUGUUCUAGGACUCCAACAUCCCAAAGGAAACCUGGUCAGUCAUUCAAUACCUGUGCUGCCACCAAAUCAGGUUAACACCCUGCACACAAGCCAUGGCCGACUUCCUGAAAACAGCUUGCUAAGAGCGGUUGAGAAUCUCCUCAGAUCAGAGCCUGAUGUUCUAGGACUUCAUCGUCCCAGAGGAACCAAGGUAUUUUCGUGUUACCUGUGUAUCUGGACCGAGCGAAGUCUCUGACCAUCACUGUGAUGACCAGCACAGCCAGCAGGACGGCCAGGAGGCUGUAGGCUCUGAAAGAACCGAAGGCCACAAACCUAGAGAGAAACAACCCUUAGGAGCUCCGUGUUGUGAGGACGGGAGUCUGUCUGAUAUCCCUGCGUCAUGAUGCCUACCAGAACACCGUGUUGGCUGCAGCAAACAGGGC
Molecule: long non-coding RNA, 3823 nt
Organism: Lates calcarifer (barramundi perch)
Lineage: Eukaryota; Metazoa; Chordata; Actinopteri; Centropomidae
Exons: 4
Source: RefSeq, a predicted model, not a curated record